AGAUAGAGGAGCGAGUACUAAGAGUAAAUAAAAUUUCUAAAAGCAUGAAGAGUUUUAUCUAAAGGAGGACUUGCCGAAAUAUCAUGGUAAUUGCUUUAAACUAUGAUGUUGGGGAUAUGUAUAAUAUACAUAUAACUGCCACAAAAUAUUUGUGGAGAACUAUCA
Molecule: non-coding RNA, 165 nt
Filed under: uncultured Clostridium sp.
Lineage: Bacteria; Bacillati; Bacillota; Clostridia; Eubacteriales; Clostridiaceae
Description: Lysine riboswitch
Rfam family: Lysine riboswitch aptamer
About the family: Riboswitches are metabolite binding domains within certain messenger RNAs that serve as precision sensors for their corresponding targets.
Source: RNAcentral